UAGUCCACGCCCUAAACGAUGCUUACUCGGCAUUGGCGAUAUACUGUCAGUGCCUGAGGGAAACCGAUAAGUAAGCCACCUGGGGAGUACGUUCGCAAGAAUGAAACUCAAAGGAAUUGACGGGGGUCCGCACAAGCGGUGGAGUAUGUGGUUUAAUUCGAUGAUACGCGAGGAACCUUACCUAGGCUGGAAUUGCAUUUGCCGACAUUUGAAAGGGUGUUUUCACUUCGGUGACGAAUGUGAAGGUGCUGCAUGGUUGUCGUCAGCUCGUGCCGUGAGGUGUUGGGUUAAGUCCCGCAACGAGCGCAACCCCUAUCUAUAGUUGCCAACAGGUUAAGCUGGGGACUCUAUAGAGACUGCCUGUGCAAGCAGAGAGGAAGGCGGGGAUGACGUCAAAUCAUCAUGGCCUUUAUGCCUAGGGCUACACACGUACUACAAUGGUGACUACAACGGGUAGCGAGGUAGCGAUACCGAGCCAAUCUCUAAAAGGUCAUCUCAGUUCGG
Molecule: ribosomal RNA, 504 nt
Filed under: uncultured bacterium
Lineage: Bacteria
Description: bacterial SSU rRNA
Rfam family: Bacterial small subunit ribosomal RNA
Source: RNAcentral